This 439-nucleotide ribosomal RNA is filed under the name uncultured bacterium. Its description in RNAcentral is "partial 16S ribosomal RNA". It matches the Rfam family "Bacterial small subunit ribosomal RNA", at positions 339 to 795 of the family's 1533-position model. The record is from RNAcentral.
CUACGGGGGGCAGCAGUGGGGAAUAUUGCACAAUGGGGGGAACCCUGAUGCAGCAACGCCGCGUGGAGGAUGACGCAUUUCGGUGUGUAAACUCCUUUUAUAUGUCAAGAAAAUGACGGUAGCAUAUGAAUAAGCACCGGCUAACUCCGUGCCAGCAGCCGCGGUAAUACGGAGGGUGCAAGCGUUACUCGGAAUCACUGGGCGUAAAGGACGCGUAGGCGGGUUGGAAAGUCAGGUGUGAAAUCCUACAGCUUAACUGUAGAACUGCACUUGAAACUUCUAAUCUAGAGUAUGGGAGGGGGAGAUGGAAUUAGUGGUGUAGGGGUAAAAUCCGUAGAUAUCACUAGGAAUACCUAAAGCGAAGGCGAUCUCCUGGAACAUUACUGACGCCAAGGCGUGAAAGCGUGGGGAGCAAACAGGAUUAGAUACCCUAGUAGUC